RNAcentral lists this ribosomal RNA (468 nucleotides) under uncultured bacterium. RNAcentral's name for it is "partial 16S ribosomal RNA". It matches the Rfam family "Bacterial small subunit ribosomal RNA", at positions 28 to 507 of the family's 1533-position model. The record is from RNAcentral.
GACGAACGCUGGCGGCGUGCUUAACACAUGCAAGUCGAACGGAAAGGCCCUGCUUUUGUGGGGUGCUCGGGUGGCGAACGGGUGAGUAACACGUGAGUAACCUGCCCUUGACUUUGGGAUAACUUCAGGAAACUGGGGCUAAUACCGGAUAGGAGCUCCUGCUGCAUGGUGGGGGUUGGAAAGUUUCUGCGGUUGGGGAGGGACUCGCGGCUUUUCAGCUUGUUGGUGGGGUAGUGGCUUACCAAGGCUUUGACGGGUAGCCGGCCUGAGAGGGUGACCGGCCACAUUGGGACUGAGAGACGGCCCAGACGCCUACGGGAGGCAGCAGUGGGGAAUAUUGCACAAUGGGCGGAAGCCUGAUGCAGCAACGCCGCGUGCGGGAUGACGGCCUUCGGGUUGUAAACCGCUUUCGCCUGUGACGAAGCGUGAGUGACGGUAAUGGGUAAAGAAGCACCGGCUAACUACGUG